This 408-nucleotide long non-coding RNA is filed under the name Vitis vinifera (wine grape). RNAcentral's name for it is "long non-coding RNA (VVIN_LNC002476)". Lineage: Eukaryota; Viridiplantae; Streptophyta; Magnoliopsida; Vitales; Vitaceae. The record is from RNAcentral.
GAACGGAUCCGACGCUGGUGAGGAAAAUGACGACGACGCUGAGGACAACGAGGAUGCCAAGGGUCUCGCGGUCGGAGAAAGUGCGGCCGAAGAGGACGAGAGGAGGAUCGGAGGGGCGGAAGAGGUAGAGGAAGAGCCAGGCGGCGAGGAGAGAAAGGAGGAGGAGGAGAGAGAAAGGGUUGGUGAGGAGAGAGAAGGCAAGGGUAAGGGCGAUGAGGGAGAGGUAGUUGACGCGGAAGUAGGUGUAGUUCUUGCGUACGCGAAGGGCGGCCUCGGAGAAGGACUCGGGGCGGGAGAAAGCGUUGCGGUCGACGAGCUCGGACCAGGGGCGGCGCUGAGCGAAGCCGUUGCGGACGGAAUCGGUGAUGUGGGUGAUAAAUAAGCGGACAGCGGGUGUGGCGACCGGAG